UACGAAGGGUCCAAGCGCUAUCCGGAUUUAUUGGGUUUAAAGGGUGCGUAGGCGGUUUAUUAAGUCAGUGGUGAAAGCUCCAUGCUUAACAUGGAAAUUGCCAUUGAUACUGAUGAACUUGAGUACACUUGAAGUGGGCGGAAUAUGUCACGUAGAGGUGAAAUUCUUAGAGAUGACAUAGAACACCGAUUGCGAAGGCAGCUCACUAAAUUGUAACUGACGCUGAGGCACGAAAGCGUGGGGAUCAAACAGG
This 253-nucleotide ribosomal RNA is filed under the name uncultured bacterium. RNAcentral describes it as "partial 16S ribosomal RNA". It matches the Rfam family "Bacterial small subunit ribosomal RNA", at positions 524 to 776 of the family's 1533-position model. The record is from RNAcentral.